RNAcentral lists this ribosomal RNA (801 nucleotides) under uncultured bacterium. RNAcentral's name for it is "bacterial SSU rRNA". It matches the Rfam family "Bacterial small subunit ribosomal RNA", at positions 84 to 869 of the family's 1533-position model. The record is from RNAcentral.
CCCUGAUGUUAGCGGCGGACGGGUGAGUAACACGUGGGUAACCUGCCUGUAAGACUGGGAUAACUCCGGGAAACCGGGGCUAAUACCGGAUGGUUGUUUGAACCGCAUGGUUCAAACAUAAAAGGUGGCUUCGGCUACCACUUACAGAUGGACCCGCGGCGCAUUAGCUAGUUGGUGAGGUAAUGGCUCACCAAGGCGACGAUGCGUAGCCGACCUGAGAGGGUGAUCGGCCACACUGGGACUGAGACACGGCCCAGACUCCUACGGGAGGCAGCAGUAGGGAAUCUUCCGCAAUGGACGAAAGUCUGACGGAGCAACGCCGCGUGAGUGAUGAAGGUUUUCGGAUCGUAAAGCUCUGUUGUUAGGGAAGAACAAGUACCGUUCGAAUAGGGCGGUACCUUGACGGUACCUAACCAGAAAGCCACGGCUAACUACGUGCCAGCAGCCGCGGUAAUACGUAGGUGGCAAGCGUUGUCCGGAAUUAUUGGGCGUAAAGGGCUCGCAGGCGGUUUCUUAAGUCUGAUGUGAAAGCCCCCGGCUCAACCGGGGAGGGUCAUUGGAAACUGGGGAACUUGAGUGCAGAAGAGGAGAGUGGAAUUCCACGUGUAGCGGUGAAAUGCGUAGAGAUGUGGAGGAACACCAGUGGCGAAGGCGACUCUCUGGUCUGUAACUGACGCUGAGGAGCGAAAGCGUGGGGAGCGAACAGGAUUAGAUACCCUGGUAGUCCACGCCGUAAACGAUGAGUGCUAAGUGUUAGGGGGUUUCCGCCCCUUAGUGCUGCAGCUAACGCAUUAAGCACUC